UACGAAGGGGGCUAGCGUUGUUCGGAAUUACUGGGCGUAAAGCGCGCGUAGGCGGUUUUGCAAGCCAGAGGUGAAAUGCCUGAGCUUAACUUAGGAAUUGCCUUUGGGACUGCGAGGCUUUGAGGACGAGAGAGGUGAGUGGAAUUCCCAGUGUAGAGGUGAAAUUCGUAGAUAUUGGGAAGAACACCGGUGGCGAAGGCGGCUCACUGGCUCGUUUCUGACGCUGUAGCGCGAAAGCGUGGGGAUCAAACAGG
This 254-nucleotide ribosomal RNA is filed under the name uncultured bacterium. RNAcentral's name for it is "partial 16S ribosomal RNA". It matches the Rfam family "Bacterial small subunit ribosomal RNA", at positions 524 to 776 of the family's 1533-position model. The record is from RNAcentral. RNAcentral also lists the same sequence under 1 other name.